Molecule: non-coding RNA, 94 nt
Organism: Roridomyces roridus
Lineage: Eukaryota; Fungi; Basidiomycota; Agaricomycetes; Agaricales; Mycenaceae
Source: the annotation of a GenBank genome assembly
GCAUUAAUGGGGUAGUGGUAACCUGGGUCGUUGCCAUGAUGUCGUAACAGCGUCGUCUUUCGACCCGCCGGGGGUUCGAUUCCCCCUUAAUGCA